UAGAAUUAAAUUAUUUAAAUUUUAGUUUAAUUUACUAUUAAAUAAAAUAAUUUAAAGUUAAAGUAUAAUUAAGAAAUAAUUAGAUUUAUGAUAGUGUAUUAGUAUGGUGAUAGAAUUAUUAAUUAAUUUAUAAGAAAAAUUUAGUUUUGUACCUUGUGUAUCAGGGUUGAUUAAUUUAAAUAAGAAUUUAUAUUUUCUCGAAUUUAGAAGAGUUAUUAUUAUAUUAAUUUUAUUGUUAAAUAAAUAUUUAAAAUAUAAUAAUUGUAAUGAAACGUUAAUCGUUUUUAAAUAUAUCUAGUUAUCUAAGAAAGGAUUUUAAAUCUUUUAUUAUAAAAAUGAAUUUACUUUUUAAUAAAAUUUUAAUAAUAAGGACUUUUUAAGGGGAUAAGCUUUUAAAAAUAAAAUUAUAAAUAUUAAUAUUAUCAUAAAAAAUAUAGGAUUAGAAGUGUUUAUUAUUAAAAUAAUGUUAUAAUAAAUUUUUUUAUUAAAAUUAUUUGUAUUAAUUUUAGAUUUUAUAUUAGAUUAAUUUUAAUAAUAUUAUAAAUAAUGUAAUUAUGAUUGAAUUAGUAAAGAGUAUUUUAAUUUUAAUUAAAAAUUUUAGGUUAAUUUAAAUAAUUCGGCAAAAUAUUUUUCACCUGUUUAUUAAAAACAUGGCCUUUUGUUAAAAAUUUAAGGUCUAGCCUGCUCGCUGAGGAAUUAAAGGGCCGCGGUAUUUUGACCGUGCUAAGGUAGCAUAAUCAUUAGUUUCUUAAUUAGAAGCUAGAAUGAAUGGUUGGAUGAAAAAAUUACUGUUUCAAAUUAAUUGGAAUUUAAUUUUAUUUUUAAGUAAAAAAGCUUAAAUUUAUUUAAAAGACGAGAAGACCCUAUAGAGUUUUAUAAAAUAGAAAUUUUAAAAUUUUUAUAAAUAUUAAUUUUAAUUUUAAAUUUUAUUUGAUUGGGGUGAUUGAAAAAUUUAAUAAACUUUUUUUUAUUAUAACAUUAAUUUAUGAUUUUUUGAUCCAUUAUUUAUGAUUAAAAGAUUAAAUUACCUUAGGGAUAACAGCGUUAUUUUAUUGGAGAGUUCAAAUCGAUAAUAAAGUUUGCGACCUCGAUGUUGGAUUAAAAUUAAUUUUUGGUGUAGAGGCUAAAAAUAUUAGGUCUGUUCGACCUUUAAAAUUUUACAUGAUCUGAGUUUAGACCGGCGUGAGCCAGGUCGGUUUCUAUCUUUAAAUAAAAAUAAUAUUUUAGUACGAAAGGAUCAAAUAUUAGUUCAAUAAAUAAUUAAAGAUUGAAUAAAAUUA
Molecule: ribosomal RNA, 1280 nt
Filed under: Moechotypa diphysis
Lineage: Eukaryota; Metazoa; Arthropoda; Insecta; Coleoptera; Cerambycidae
Description: 16S ribosomal RNA
Rfam family: Archaeal large subunit ribosomal RNA (bases 1035-1194)
Source: RNAcentral